CCGUGGGACGCCCCAAUGGCGGGGCAGCGGUUUGUAGGUCCGCCGCGUCUUCGGACGCAUGGCAGGUUCGAUCCCUGCCCCACGGA
Molecule: transfer RNA, 86 nt
Filed under: Enhygromyxa salina
Lineage: Bacteria; Pseudomonadati; Myxococcota; Nannocystales; Nannocystaceae
Description: tRNA-Tyr
Source: RNAcentral